This 1393-nucleotide ribosomal RNA is filed under the name bacterium NLAE-zl-G280. RNAcentral's name for it is "bacterial SSU rRNA". It matches the Rfam family "Bacterial small subunit ribosomal RNA". RNAcentral also lists the same sequence under 1 other name. The record is from RNAcentral.
UGCAGUCGAGGGGCAGCAUUUCAGUUUGCUUGCAAACUGGAGAUGGCGACCGGCGCACGGGUGAGUAACACGUAUCCAACCUGCCGAUAACUCGGGGAUAGCCUUUCGAAAGAAAGAUUAAUACCCGAUGGUAUAAUNANACCGCAUGGUCUUGUUAUUAAAGAAUUUCGGUUAUCGAUGGGGAUGCGUUCCAUUAGGCAGUUGGUGAGGUAACGGCUCACCAAACCUUCGAUGGAUAGGGGUUCUGAGAGGAAGGUCCCCCACAUUGGAACUGAGACACGGUCCAAACNNNNNNGGGAGGCAGCAGUGAGGAAUAUUGGUCAAUGGGCGCAGGCCUGAACCAGCCAAGUAGCGUGAAGGAUGACUGCCCUAUGGGUUGUAAACUUCUUUUAUAUGGGAAUAAAGUUUUCCACGUGUGGAAUUUUGUAUGUACCAUAUGAAUAAGGAUCGGCUAACUCCGUGCCAGCAGCCGCGGUAAUACGGAGGAUCCGAGCGUUAUCCGGAUUUAUUGGGUUUAAAGGGAGCGUAGGUGGACAGUUAAGUCAGUUGUGAAAGUUUGCGGCUCAACCGUAAAAUUGCAGUUGAUACUGGCUGUCUUGAGUACAGUAGAGGUGGGCGGAAUUCGUGGUGUAGCGGUGAAAUGCUUAGAUAUCACGAAGAACUCCGAUUGCGAAGGCAGCUCACUGGACUGCAACUGACACUGAUGCUCGAAAGUGUGGGUAUCAAACAGGAUUAGAUACCCUGGUAGUCCACACAGUAAACGAUGAAUACUCGCUGUUUGCGAUAUACAGUAAGCGGCCAAGCGAAAGCAUUAAGUAUUCCACCUGGGGAGUACGCCGGCAACGGUGAAACUCAAAGGAAUUGACGGGGGCCCGCACAAGCGGAGGAACAUGUGGUUUAAUUCGAUGAUACGCGAGGAACCUUACCCGGGCUUAAAUUGCAUUUGAAUAUAUUGGAAACAGUAUAGCCGUAAGGCAAAUGUGAAGGUGCUGCAUGGUUGUCGUCAGCUCGUGCCGUGAGGUGUCGGCUUAAGUGCCAUAACGAGCGCAACCCUUAUCUUUAGUUACUAACAGGUCAUGCUGAGGACUCUAGAGAGACUGCCGUCGUAAGAUGUGAGGAAGGUGGGGAUGACGUCAAAUCAGCACGGCCCUUACGUCCGGGGCUACACACGUGUUACAAUGGGGGGUACAGAAGGCAGCUACCUGGUGACAGGAUGCUAAUCCCAAAAGCCUCUCUCAGUUCGGAUCGAAGUCUGCAACCCGACUUCGUGAAGCUGGAUUCGCUAGUAAUCGCGCAUCAGCCAUGGCGCGGUGAAUACGUUCCCGGGCCUUGUACACACCGCCCGUCAAGCCAUGAAAGCCGGGGGUACCUGAAGUACGUAACCGCAAGGAGC